Molecule: ribosomal RNA, 444 nt
Filed under: uncultured bacterium
Lineage: Bacteria
Description: bacterial SSU rRNA
Rfam family: Bacterial small subunit ribosomal RNA
Source: RNAcentral
AACGCGAAGAACCUUACCUGGGCUUGAACCGCACAGGACCAUCUUUGGAAACAGAGACUUCCCGCAAGGGGCUGCUGUAUAGGUGCUGCAUGGCUGUCGUCAGCUCGUGUCGUGAGAUGUUGGGUUAAGUCCCGCAACGAGCGCAACCCUCAUCCCUAGUUGCCACCGGGUAAUGCCGAGCACUCUAGUGAAACCGCCCCGGAUAACGGGGAGGAAGGUGGGGAUGACGUCAAGUCCUCAUGGCCUUUAUGUCCAGGGCUACACACGUGCUACAAUGGUCGGUACAAACCGUCGCAAAGCCGCAAGGUGGAGCUAAUCGGAAAAAGCCGGCCUCAGUUCGGAUUGGAGUCUGCAACUCGACUCCAUGAAGCUGGAAUCGCUAGUAAUCGCAGAUCAGAACGCUGCGGUGAAUACGUUCCCGGGCCUUGUACACACCGACUGUAC